Molecule: ribosomal RNA, 748 nt
Filed under: uncultured bacterium
Lineage: Bacteria
Description: bacterial SSU rRNA
Rfam family: Bacterial small subunit ribosomal RNA
Source: RNAcentral
GACGAACGCUGGCGGCGUGCCUAAUACAUGCAAGUCGUACGAGGACGUACUUUUGAAGCCUUCGGGCGGAUAAGGUACGGCCCUAGUGGCGGACGGGUGAGUAACGCGUGGGCAACCUGCCCUUUAGACCGGGAUAACUUUCGGAAACGAGAGCUAAUCCCGGAUGCAGAGCGAGAAUCGCAUGAUUCUUUCUCGAAAGCUUCGGCGCUAAAGGAUGGGCCCGCGUCCCAUUAGCUAGUUGGUAGGGUAACGGCCUACCAAGGCGACGAUGGGUAGCCGGCCUGAGAGGGUGAACGGCCACACUGGGACUGAGACACGGCCCAGACUCCUACGGGAGGCAGCAGUAGGGAAUCUUGCGCAAUGGACGAAAGUCUGACGCAGCGACGCCGCGUGAGGGACGAAGGCCUUCGGGUCGUAAACCUCUGUCCUUGGGGACGAUAAUGACGGUACCCAAGGAGGAAGCCCCGGCUAACUACGUGCCAGCAGCCGCGGUAAUACGUAGGGGGCGAGCGUUGUCCGGAAUUAUUGGGCGUAAAGGGUGCGUAGGCGGUUUGGUAAGUCUUGUGUGAAAGGCCUCGGCUUAACCGGGGUAUGCCACAGGAAACUACUGAGCUUGAGUGUCGGAGAGGGUAGCGGAAUUCCAGGUGUAGCGGUGAAAUGCGUAGAUAUCUGGAGGAACACCCGUGGCGAAGGCGGCUACCUGGACGACUACUGACGCUAAGGCACGACAGCUGGGGGAGCGAACAGG